GGCGCUUGCGCCACCCGGCGGGAGGAAAGUCCGGACUCCGCAGGGCGGGAAGUCCCGGCGGCGACGCCGGGAGGGGUCCGGGCAAACCGGGCCGACGGAAAGUGCCACAGAAAACAACCGCCGGCGCCCCAGGGCGCAGGCAAGGGUGAAAAGGCGGUGCAAGAGACCACCGGCCGGGAACGCAAGGCCCCGGCGCAAGGCAAACCCCUUCCGGAGCAAGGUCAAAUAGGGGGCAAGGCGCGGCCCGCGCCAGUCCGCCGCAAGGCGGGGGAGCCCCGGGUUGACCGCACAGAAAAAUGAUCCGGCCCGCCGCAAGGCGGGAACAGAAUCCGGCUUAUGAAUCC
RNAcentral lists this RNase P RNA (344 nucleotides) under bovine gut metagenome. Its description in RNAcentral is "Bacterial RNase P class A". It matches the Rfam family "Bacterial RNase P class A". From Rfam's summary of the family: Ribonuclease P (RNase P) is a ubiquitous endoribonuclease, found in archaea, bacteria and eukarya as well as chloroplasts and mitochondria. Its best characterised activity is the generation of mature 5'-ends of tRNAs by cleaving the 5'-leader elements of precursor-tRNAs. The record is from RNAcentral.